This 468-nucleotide ribosomal RNA is filed under the name uncultured bacterium. Its description in RNAcentral is "partial 16S ribosomal RNA". It matches the Rfam family "Bacterial small subunit ribosomal RNA", at positions 28 to 507 of the family's 1533-position model. The record is from RNAcentral.
GACGAACGCUGGCGGCGUGCUUAACACAUGCAAGUCGAACGGAAAGGCCCUGCUUUUGUGGGGUGCUCGAGUGGCGAACGGGUGAGUAACACGUGAGUAACCUGCCCUUGACUUUGGGAUAACUUCAGGAAACUGGGGCUAAUACCGGAUAGGAGCUCCUGCUGCAUGGUGGGGGUUGGAAAGUUUCGGCGGUUGGGGAUGGACUCGCGGCUUAUCAGCUUGUUGGUGGGGUAGUGGAUUACCAAGGCUUUGACGGGUAGCCGGCCUGAGAGGGUGACCGGCCACAUUGGGACUGAGAUACGGCCCAGACUCCUACGGGAGGCAGCAGUGGGGAAUAUGGCACAAUGGGCGGAAGCCUGAUGCAGCAACGCCGCGUGCGGGGUGACGGCCUUCGGGUUGUAAACCGCUUUCGCCUGUGACGAAGCGUGAGUGACGGUAAUGGGUAAAGAAGCACCGGCUAACUACGUG